This 202-nucleotide long non-coding RNA is filed under the name Sorghum bicolor (sorghum). RNAcentral's name for it is "long non-coding RNA (SBIC_LNC010551)". Lineage: Eukaryota; Viridiplantae; Streptophyta; Magnoliopsida; Poales; Poaceae. The record is from RNAcentral.
GGUGGUGGCUAGAAAUUGAUGGAAACAGUGGGAAAAAACACACAAACUGGAAUGUAACAAGACCUAACCAGUAACAAGACCUCGACUAGGACACAAACUCAACACUAGGGACUCUGAAACUGAAAUAUGCAAAGGCUAUGGCGCGGAUGGGUUGUAGGACAUGAAAACAAUAUGGCAAUAGACUUAUGGGACGAACACAAGG